Molecule: long non-coding RNA, 2507 nt
Organism: Pecten maximus
Lineage: Eukaryota; Metazoa; Mollusca; Bivalvia; Pectinida; Pectinidae
Exons: 2
Source: RefSeq, a predicted model, not a curated record
ACCUUUACAGAUUCUGGACAUUGACUAAAUGUAGACCUUUACACCUUUAUAGAUUCUGGACAUUGACUAUAGGUGGACCUUUACAGAUUCUGGACAUUGACUAUAGGUGGACCUUUACAGAUUCUGGACAUUGACUAUAGGUGGACCUUUACAGAUUCUGGACAUUGACUAUAGGUAGACCUUUACAGAUUCUGGACAUUGACUAAAUGUAGACCUUUACACCUUUAUAGAUUCUGGACAUUGACUAUAGGUGGACCUUUACAGAUUCUGGACAUUGACUAUAGGUAGACCUUUACAGAUUCUGGACAUUGACUAAAGGUAGACCUUUACAGAUUCUGGACAUUGACUAUAGGUAGACCUUUACAGAUUCUGGACAUUGACUAUAGGUAGACCUUUACAGAUUCUGGACAUUGACUAAAGGUAGACCUUUACAGAUUCUGGACAUUGACUAUAGGUGGACGUUUACAGAUUCUGGACAUUGACUAUAGGUGGACCUUUACACCUUUACAGAUUCUGGACAUUGACUAACGGUAGACCUUUACACCUUUACAGAUUCUGGACAUUGACUAACGGUAGACCUUUACACCUUUACAGAUUCUGGACAUCGACUAACGGUAGACCUUUACACCUUUACAGAUUCUGGACAUCGACUAUAGGUGGACCUUUACACCUUUACAGAUUCUGGACAUUGACUAAAUGUAGACCUUUACACCUUUAUAGAUUCUGGACAUUGACUAUAGGUGGACCUUUACAGAUUCUGGACAUUGACUAUAGGUAGACCUUUACAGAUUCUGGACAUUGACUAAAGGUAGACCUUUACAGAUUCUGGACAUUGACUAAAGGUAGACCUUUACAGAUUCUGGACAUUGACUAUAGGUAGACCUUUACAGAUUCUGGACAUUGACUAAAGGUAGACCUUUACAGAUUCUGGACAUUGACUAUAGGUAGACCUUUACAGAUUCUGGACAUUGACUCCAGACAUUGACUAUAGGUAGUUAGUGAUGGAAACUCUCAGCAGACUAGGCUUAUUAAGUCUUUAAGCAUAUUUGAAACACAAAUAUUUUGUUGGAAACAAAUUCUUUUCAUUUGACUAAUUCCCCAUAUAUUCCACUUGUACAAUUAAGCACACAUUAUCUGCAAACGUUUUGAUUCUGCAGUAACAAUACAUGUACUUAUUCUUGGCAGUGUUCCUUAUUGUUGUCUGGAUUCCUACUGGAAUUGUUCAGGAUGUUAUACAUGGUGAUAGCUCCGUGAAUGGAGAGCACUCUCCUUAUGUUAAACUGUACUUCGGAUAAGAGAUACUUCGCCAAAUUUAGUUAUAAAGGAAAUAUAUUUUCACACAGGUACCAUAUACUAAAACAGUAACAAAGUGUACCUGGUAGUGUAACUAUACAGGGAUGGCAUUUAUACAUUCCUUAAAGGUGUUCAGUAGCAUUGUCACUCUAGCCUGUUAGUAGUGACUGGUGUCCUUUAAUUUUUAAAGAAUUUCUAUUUAUUGAGAAUCUGCUGUUAUGUAUAUGUAUAUAGAAGAAAACAGAAGUAUAAGCCUUGCUGAAUAAUAAGGCAACCUUGAGCUUUCUCAGGUUAUACCGAUAGUCUACAUUUGUACAAUGUAAUUCAGGCAGUCUAUAUGGUAUUGAACAUGUCAUAAUUGUAAACAAGCUGAAAAGACAGUACUGUUAGUCUGUAUAUUGUUGUAUUUGAUUCUAAGCAAGAGUAUGUACAGUUUUGUAUGUAUGUUUUUUUAUGUAAAUGGAUAGAAUACAGGGACAACUUGUGCCUUUCAGAAUAAAGAAGCAUUUUAUUGUUAAUGACAAGGGGAAUUUUUGUUGAUCUUGAUAUACAGUAUAUCGUUUUUUUUUAGCGUAUGCCAAAUUUCACGUUUUCUAUACAAAUUACUAUGUUUUAUUUUACUUAAUUUAGUGUAUUUCAUUUUUGGCGUCUAACACAGCUAGUAAGUUUCAUAUACAACACAAACAACAAAUACUAAGCAAUGAUAUUUAUUGACAAUUCCAAAUGUAUACAACAUGCAGUAUACAAUAUACAUAGUAUAAUAAACUGUGCGUACCGCGGCCACACACCGAUCUCGUCCGCAUACCACUGCUCGAACUGAUUUUUUUUAGAAAUCCUUUACGCAUUUAUUUACACUAUGGUCCAUUGGCUGGAUUUGGUCAGUGCAGUCUGGAUCGUUCGUCGUUCUGCUAACCCUGGGGCUUUGUUUGUCCUUCGUACGUAACAUAUCUAACAUAGCCAUGUUUACACUGUCAAAGCCAAGCUCGUUAUGAUUUCAAACAUACAAUGGACAAGGUAUGGUCAGCUGUGAACACAUAUUUAUUGAUGAUAACAAUUCAAUCGAGCCACGGUCAAUUGAGCAUACCUGUACGCAUUUACACACAUACAUAUACAUUGAUCGGUAGGAGAGCAAGGGAGAUAACACCUGUUGUAUAACAAUACCAAUUUUAAGCGCUGUUUUAUAAUUCGCGACGGAGUGUGGUCGCUAAAUUAGC